GACGGACGCUGGCGGCGUGCUUAACACAUGCAAGUCGAACGGACAGGCCCUGCUUUUGUGGGGUGCUCGAGUGGCGAACGGGUGAGUGACACGUGAGUAACCUGCCCUUGACUUUGGGAUAACUUCAGGAAACUGGGGCUAAUACCGGAUAGGAUCUCCUGCUGCAUGGUGGGGGUUGGAAAGUUUCGGCGGUUGGGGAUGGACUCGCGGCUUAUCCGCUUGUUGGUGGGGUAGUGGCUUACCAAGGCUUUGACGGGUAGCCGGCCUGGGAGGGUGACCGGCCACAUUGGGACUGAGAGAGGGCCCAGACUCCUACGGGAGGCAGCAGGGGGGAAUAUUGCACAGUGGCGGGAAGCCUGAUGCAGCAACGCCGCGUGCGGGAUGACGGCCUUCGGGUUGUAAACCGCUUUCGCCUGUGACGAAGCGUGAGUGACGGUAAUGGGUAAAGAAGCACCGGCUAACUACGUG
Molecule: ribosomal RNA, 468 nt
Filed under: uncultured bacterium
Lineage: Bacteria
Description: partial 16S ribosomal RNA
Rfam family: Bacterial small subunit ribosomal RNA
Source: RNAcentral